Molecule: non-coding RNA, 66 nt
Organism: Podarcis lilfordi (Lilford's wall lizard)
Lineage: Eukaryota; Metazoa; Chordata; Lepidosauria; Squamata; Lacertidae
Source: the annotation of a GenBank genome assembly
GCAGCUCAGUUGGCAGAGCAUGAGGCUCUAAAUCUCAAGGUUGUGGGUUCAAGCCCACGUUGGACA